UACGUAGGGGGCAAGCGUUGUCCGGAUUUAUUGGGCGUAAAGAGCGUGUAGGCGGCUUUACAGGUCCGUUGUGAAAACUCGAGGCUCAACCUCGAGACGCCGGUGGAAACCGUAAAGCUAGAGUCCGGAAGAGGAGAGUGGAAUUCCUGGUGUAGCGGUGGAAUGCGCAGAUAUCAGGAGGAACACCAACGGCGAAGGCAGCUCGCUGGGACGGUACUGACGCUGAGGCGCGAAAGCGUGGGGAGCAAACAGG
RNAcentral lists this ribosomal RNA (253 nucleotides) under uncultured bacterium. RNAcentral's name for it is "partial 16S ribosomal RNA". It matches the Rfam family "Bacterial small subunit ribosomal RNA", at positions 524 to 776 of the family's 1533-position model. The record is from RNAcentral.